GACGAACGCUGGCGGCGUGCUUAACACAUGCAAGUCGUACGGUAAGGCCCUUUCGGGGGUACACGAGUGGCGAACGGGUGAGUAACACGUGAGUAACCUGCCCACAACUUUGGGAUAACGCUAGGAAACUGGUGCUAAUACUGGAUAUGUGCUCCUGCUGCAUGGUGGGGGUUGGAAAGCUCCGGCGGUUGUGGAUGGACUCGCGGCCUAUCAGCUUGUUGGUGGGGUAGUGGCCUACCAAGGCGGCGACGGGUAGCCGGCCUGAGGGGGUGACCGGCCACAUUGGGACUGAGAUACGGCCCAGACUCCUACGGGAGGCAGCAGUGGGGAAUAUUGCACAAUGGGCGCAAGCCGGAUGCAGCAACGCCGCGUGCGGGAUGACGGCCUUCGGGUUGUAAACCGCUUUCAGCAGGGACGAAGCUUUUUGUGACGGUACCUGCAGAAGAAGCACCGGCUAACUACGUG
Molecule: ribosomal RNA, 465 nt
Filed under: uncultured bacterium
Lineage: Bacteria
Description: partial 16S ribosomal RNA
Rfam family: Bacterial small subunit ribosomal RNA
Source: RNAcentral